This 63-nucleotide transfer RNA is filed under the name Cherax cartalacoolah. Its description in RNAcentral is "tRNA-Thr". It matches the Rfam family "tRNA". Rfam says of the family: Transfer RNA (tRNA) molecules are approximately 80 nucleotides in length. Lineage: Eukaryota; Metazoa; Arthropoda; Malacostraca; Decapoda; Parastacidae. The record is from RNAcentral.
GUUUUAAUAGUUUAAAUAAAAUUUUGGUCUUGUAAACCAAAGAUGUGUCUUUCUCUUAAAACU